GGAUGUGAGGGUGAUCUGGCUGUGACAUCUGUCACUCCAUUGAUCAUCAGGGUUGAUUAGGCUGAUCUGGCUGGCUAUGCGGGUGUCCCCUUCCUCCCUCACCAUUUAAUGUGCGUCCCUCCUGAAACUGUGGGCUUGGUUGAAGAGGAUGGCCUUCCCCGAAUAGAGACAGACCGGUCGGGUCUAGGGUAUACGAGUAGCUGCGCUCCCCUGCUACAACCUCCAAACAAGCUCUCAUGAACUGUAUGGAAGAAAUACUCAUCCCUUUAAGUAAGUUGUUAGUUUGUGACAGGAACUUGAUU
Erinaceus europaeus (western European hedgehog) is the source of this 302-nucleotide unclassified non-coding RNA. Its record names the gene 7SK. It matches the Rfam family "7SK RNA". From Rfam's summary of the family: 7SK was discovered as an abundant small nuclear RNA in the mid-70s but a possible function has only recently been suggested. Lineage: Eukaryota; Metazoa; Chordata; Mammalia; Eulipotyphla; Erinaceidae. The record is from Ensembl.